GGAUCAAUUUAUUGGUCGUGCUAUUGUACGUACUGAUUUUAUUGGUUCCUACCUUCUGACGAACCAUAAUGUCAUUAAUUUGGUGUUAUGGGGAAUCAGGACUGUUACUUUGAAAAAAUUAGAGUGUUUAAAGCAGGCAAUCGCUUGAAUACAUUAGCAUGGAAUAAUGAAAUAGGACGUUCGAUCCUAUUUUGUUGGUUUCUAGGGUUGACGUA
RNAcentral lists this ribosomal RNA (215 nucleotides) under uncultured fungus. RNAcentral describes it as "partial small subunit ribosomal RNA". The stretch from base 37 to 215 matches the Rfam family "Eukaryotic small subunit ribosomal RNA", at positions 684 to 864 of the family's 1831-position model. Lineage: Eukaryota; Fungi. The record is from RNAcentral.